CUCCUAAUUUUUGUUUACAUGGUGUUGUGAACCACCAGUGUGUUUUUGUUAUUAUAUGUGGGUAUAAUUUUUCUAAAAAUGACAUUCCUAAUAGCAUAUCUUUUGUUGUAAGUUCGAAGUUAUACAUUUCUUCUAUAGUUAAUAUCUUAUCACAUAUUUGUAUUUUUAUAUUUUUUGCCUUAUAUGUGAUCAUGCUUCCUUCAUUAUUAAAUCCUG
Molecule: long non-coding RNA, 216 nt
Filed under: Solanum tuberosum (potato)
Lineage: Eukaryota; Viridiplantae; Streptophyta; Magnoliopsida; Solanales; Solanaceae
Description: long non-coding RNA (STUB_LNC010647)
Source: RNAcentral